UUAUUUUUCACUCCAUGAACAUAAGUACUGCAAUCAUGCAUGACCACAUACAGCUUCUUCAUUCGAUGAAUUUGAUGGGUUAGGGAUAUAAGUUGAAGAAGAAACACUUUAAACAUAUUAAUCAUAUCUGCAAACAAAUAAAAGAAAAAGAAAAAGAAAUUGGUUGCCAAAUUCCAACAGUUGCAAAAUAAAUUAACAAGCAAUAUAGAGACAAAAGUUAAUAGAAAUAAACAUAUUUUGCUAGAAAACAAAAAAAUUCAUAAGCUAUGAACAAAUCAACUCAAUUAUCUUAAAGGAAAAAUAGAGAAUAAGAAUGUUGUAGCACAUUUGAUUAGAAAUAAGAUACAAUAUAUUUAACUACAGAUAUAAAUUAAAAAAAAAAGUGAUGAUGAAUUCAUUCUCUUAUAUAUAUAUGAAUAAGAGAGAGUGAGAGAGCAAAUUAUAGCAUUCAAGUUUUCAGUAUAACAUCUAGUUUCAAGAAAGUGUGUUUAUUUCUCAUUAUAUAAAAAACAAUGAUUUUCCAGCUAAAAAAAAAUCAUAAUAAAAUUUAAUAUCUAAUACAACAUAGUAUGUUUUUUCAAAAAAAAGCUUGAUAUUAUGUCUUUUAGCCACCAAGCCUGAGUGUGAGAGUAAAGCAUUUAACUCUUGAUAAUUACACACUUUCUGCAUAAUGCAAUUAGUGUCAACUCAUUCCAAAUUACUCUACUAGAAUAAUAAAACAUUUCAGCCAUUGUAUUGAUGGAGCUACUAAUCCAGAAUAUUCACAAUAAAUAUAGAGUUCAAGGCAAUUAAGAGAUGUACCUCUUAAAGCUAUGCAUAUUCUCUAUCUUUCUAAGACAAUCUUUAAUUCAUAUAGUUCCACCCCCUUUGAAUUCACAAACCAAGACUUUACAAACAAAGGCCUUAUAUCAUUAAUCUUAAUACCUUUUUACCAAAAAAUCACUAUAUUCAUAAAUAAAAAUCACAAGUUAACGUUUUAACCUCGUGUUGGGUCAUUAAUCUUAAUACCUUUUUACCAAAAAAUCACUAUAUUCAUAAAUAAAAAUCACAAGUUAACGCUUUAACCUCAUGUUGGGCUGUCUUAGUUUUCACAUGGCAGAGGAAUCUACGAUAAUGUGUAUGUUUUCCUAAGAAGAAAAAGGAACAAAAAAUAGGGAAAGGAAGCCAAGACUAAGAAAUAAUUAUUCAAUAAGCUGAAAAAUUAUCAUAUAUCAUGCAUGUUUUACACAAUCCCCUUAUAAAGUUAAAAAAAAAAACUACUUUAUUUUACACAAUCAAACGAUUUUAAAUAUUUGACCAGGAAACAUAACUUAGUAGGACAAGAAUGCAGCUAAAUUAUGAAAACCAUUUUGCUUGCAGAUAUUAAUUAGACAUUUCAGUUUUUCUUUUAUUUUUCACAAUUUAUCAGAAAUUAAACACACAUUCGUUCGGCAUUUUCACAUAAGCCAACCAAACCCUAACCUCUGGAAAAUUUGGUCACCUUUUAGCUUCAAGUUCAAAUAAUAAAUAACAUACAAAGUUCAAAAUACAAAAGUUAUCCAUCCUCUGCUUCAACCAAAAAUUCCUCCACUAAUUCGCUCCAGGAAACAUUAUUUGAAAAUAUAAAAUGAAAACCAAAAUUGCACAUUCAAAUGCAAAUAAUUUAAUGACAAAAAAAAUGUGCAAAUAUGGUAAAUGAAAGGAAAUAUCUGAAAAAGGAGACUCCAUCACAGAUCUACGAAACGAAACUCCAAAACAAUAUCGGCAUUGUCUCGUCAAAGUCUGUGACUCUCAUCGAUCCAUAUAACACAACGAAACAACAAAAUUUAACACGGGAAAAAAAAAGGGAAUGUAUAAGCAAAUAUCCGAGAGAAUAGAAGAAAACCGAGCUUACUGAGUUACUUGGAGCUCCAAGACUUUUCGAAGAUCGAAUUAGCAGAAGAAAACAAAACUUCAGCUAACAAGAAAUCUCGAGAAGUCGAAGCGAGAGGGGUGGUGUGCACUCGAGUAGGGUGAGCAAAAUGUGGAGAUCUAAAGCGGGUCUUGUGAGCUUGUGGCAUAGCGGCGUGGUGGAUGUUUUGCAUAAUGUAGAUCGUUAGGGUUUCGUAUGGUAUGGGUCUUAGAAUUUGAGCAGUGGUGUUAGGAUUUCUUAUGGCAUGGACCCUUGAAUUUUAGGGCUCGAAGUUUUAGAGGUAUGAAGAAGAAGAAUGAUAUCGCCAGAGAGAUGAGGCGGCUGGCCAUGGAUUUAGGAGUUAGGGAAUUUUAUGUUUA
RNAcentral lists this long non-coding RNA (2250 nucleotides) under Citrus sinensis (sweet orange). RNAcentral describes it as "long non-coding RNA (CSIN_LNC001980)". The record is from RNAcentral. Lineage: Eukaryota; Viridiplantae; Streptophyta; Magnoliopsida; Sapindales; Rutaceae.